RNAcentral lists this non-coding RNA (253 nucleotides) under uncultured bacterium. RNAcentral describes it as "partial 16S ribosomal RNA". It matches the Rfam family "Bacterial small subunit ribosomal RNA", at positions 524 to 776 of the family's 1533-position model. RNAcentral also lists the same sequence under 1 other name. The record is from RNAcentral.
GACGAACCGUGCGAACGUUAUUCGGAAUCACUGGGCUUAAAGGGUGCGUAGGCGGGUAUAUAAGUCGAGGGUGAAAGCCUCUAGCUCAACUAGAGAAGUGCCCUCGAAACUAUAUGUCUUGAGAGAGAUAGGGGCAUACGGAACUUCCGGUGGAGCGGUGAAAUGCGUAGAUAUCGGAAGGAACGCCGGUGGCGAAAGCGGUAUGCUGGAUCUUUUCUGACGCUGAGGCACGAAAGCUAGGGUAGCGAACGGG